AUCCAUCCGAUGAGUCCUAAAUAGAACGAAACACACAUCUUGGAU
This is a non-coding RNA of Schistosoma mansoni, 45 nucleotides long. NCBI's taxonomy places the organism in Eukaryota, Metazoa, Platyhelminthes, Trematoda, Strigeidida, Schistosomatidae. The record is from Rfam.